Molecule: long non-coding RNA, 602 nt
Filed under: Pan troglodytes (chimpanzee)
Lineage: Eukaryota; Metazoa; Chordata; Mammalia; Primates; Hominidae
Description: long non-coding RNA NONPTRT015632
Source: RNAcentral
CUGCCUGGCCGUCGCCGCCUAUAAGCUACCAGGAGGAGCUUUACGACUUCCCGGCCUGCGGGAAGUGGCGGGCACGAUCGCAAGGUAGCGCAGAAGCUUCUCAAUGGCCAGCGCCAGCUGCAGCCCCUGCGGCGCACUCGCCUCACCUGAGCCUGGGAGGAAAAUUCUUCCAAGGAUGAUCUCCCACUCAGAGCUGAGGAAGCUUUUCUACUCAGCAGAUGCUGUGUGUUUUGAUGUUGACAGCACGGUCAUCAGUGAAGAAGGAAUCGGAUGCUUUCAUUGGAUUUGGAGGAAAUGUGAUCAGGCAACAAGUCAAGGAUAACGCCAAAUGGAUGCUUGCUCUUUGAACUCAGCCACCAUGCUGUGAGGAAGCCCAGAUCACAAGGAGAGGCCACAUUUUGAUGUUCCAGUCAACAGUCCCAGCACAGGUUUCAGAUGACAGCCAACAUCAGUUGCCGGACAUGAGACUGAAGAAGGCUUUGUGAAGACUCCAGCCCCAGCCACUGCAACAGCAUGAGAGACCCCAAGUGAAAAUCACCUGCCUGAACCCAUCAACUCCCAGAACCAUGAAAAUAAAAAACUUUUUUUUUUCCAGAUGGAGU